UGCAGUCGUACGCACUGGCCCAACUGAUUGAUGGUGCUUGCACCUGAUUGACGAUGGAUCACCAGUGAGUGGCGGACGGGUGAGUAACACGUAGGUAACCUGCCCCGGAGCGGGGGAUAACAUUUGGAAACAGAUGCUAAUACCGCAUAACAACAAAAGCCACAUGGCUUUUGUUUGAAAGAUGGCUUUGGCUAUCACUCUGGGAUGGACCUGCGGUGCAUUAGCUAGUUGGUAAGGUAACGGCUUACCAAGGCGAUGAUGCAUAGCCGAGUUGAGAGACUGAUCGGCCACAAUGGAACUGAGACACGGUCCAUACUCCUACGGGAGGCAGCAGUAGGGAAUCUUCCACAAUGGGCGCAAGCCUGAUGGAGCAACACCGCGUGAGUGAAGAAGGGUUUCGGCUCGUAAAGCUCUGUUGUUGGAGAAGAACGUGCGUGAGAGUAACUGUUCACGCAGUGACGGUAUCCAACCAGAAAGUCACGGCUAACUACGUGCCAGCAGCCGCGGUAAUACGUAGGUGGCAAGCGUUAUCCGGAUUUAUUGGGCGUAAAGCGAGCGCAGGCGGUUGCUUAGGUCUGAUGUGAAAGCCUUCGGCUUAACCGAAGAAGUGCAUCGGAAACCGGGCGACUUGAGUGCAGAAGAGGACAGUGGAACUCCAUGUGUAGCGGUGGAAUGCGUAGAUAUAUGGAAGAACACCAGUGGCGAAGGCGGCUGUCUGGUCUGCAACUGACGCUGAGGCUCGAAAGCAUGGGUAGCGAACAGGAUUAGAUACCCUGGUAGUCCAUGCCGUAAACGAUGAGUGCUAGGUGUUGGAGGGUUUCCGCCCUUCAGUGCCGGAGCUAACGCAUUAAGCACUCCGCCUGGGGAGUACGACCGCCAGGUUGAAACUCAAAGGAAUUGACGGGGGCCCGC
RNAcentral lists this ribosomal RNA (912 nucleotides) under Lactobacillus gasseri. RNAcentral describes it as "bacterial SSU rRNA". It matches the Rfam family "Bacterial small subunit ribosomal RNA", at positions 56 to 924 of the family's 1533-position model. Lineage: Bacteria; Bacillati; Bacillota; Bacilli; Lactobacillales; Lactobacillaceae. The record is from RNAcentral.